RNAcentral lists this ribosomal RNA (234 nucleotides) under uncultured Lactobacillus sp. Its description in RNAcentral is "partial 16S ribosomal RNA". It matches the Rfam family "Bacterial small subunit ribosomal RNA", at positions 129 to 354 of the family's 1533-position model. The record is from RNAcentral. Lineage: Bacteria; Bacillati; Bacillota; Bacilli; Lactobacillales; Lactobacillaceae.
CCCCAUAGUCUGGGAUACCACUUGGAAACAGGUGCUAAUACCGGAUAAGAAAGCGGAUCGCAUGAUCAGCUUUUAAAAGGCGGCGUAAGCUGUCGCUAUGGGAUGGCCCCGCGGUGCAUUAGCUAGUUGGUAAGGUAAAGGCUUACCAAGGCGAUGAUGCAUAGCCGAGUUGAGAGACUGAUCGGCCACAUUGGGACUGAGACACGGCCCAAACUCCUACGGGAGGCAGCAGAA